This 324-nucleotide ribosomal RNA is filed under the name uncultured bacterium. RNAcentral's name for it is "bacterial SSU rRNA". It matches the Rfam family "Bacterial small subunit ribosomal RNA", at positions 28 to 334 of the family's 1533-position model. The record is from RNAcentral.
GACGAACGCUGGCGGCGUGCCUAACACAUGCAAGUCGAGCGGGGACAUAUUCGGAAGGUCUUCGGAUUGGAAGGAUAUGUUCUAGCGGCGGACGGGUGAGUAACGCGUGAACAAUCUGUCCCAGACAGGGGGAUAACAGAUGGAAACAUCUGCUAAUACCGCAUAAUGCAGUUGGGCCGCAUGGCUCUGACUGCCAAAGAUUUAUCGCUCUGAGAUGGCCUCGCGUCUGAUUAGCUAGUUGGUGGGGUAACGGCCCACCAAGGCGACGAUCAGUAGCCGGACUGAGAGGUUGGCCGGCCACAUUGGGACUGAGACACGGCCCAG